Molecule: long non-coding RNA, 647 nt
Filed under: Panax ginseng (ginseng)
Lineage: Eukaryota; Viridiplantae; Streptophyta; Magnoliopsida; Apiales; Araliaceae
Description: long non-coding RNA (PGIN_LNC017590)
Source: RNAcentral
GAAAUAUAGAAAUCAAAGAUAACAUCCAAAUCUGAAUAAUAAUAUCCAAAUCUAAAAACACACGAAAACAAGACAUGUCCAUGAAAGCGAAAACCACUGGAGCCAAAGGAUUCAUUAACAAAAUUAAAUGGAUAACAAAACCCAGUAACCGGCAAUGAACAACCAAAUUUGAAAAUUGAAAUAGAUAAACAAUAAGAGCACAAAUUCCAGAUCGGAAACCACUAGAAACAAACCACCGGUAAGAACAGUUCCAGAGCUGAAUAAAGACAAACCAGAUCUGGAGAAGCUCCAUCUUUCAAAAGGUCAUCAAAGACAAACCCAAGCCCAGACCAAAACACAAAGUCCUCCAAUCAGAUCAUGACUCUAGAAACCCAUGAACAAAAUCAUCGCCUUUACUAGUCUCGCAGGAAACCAAUCGUAGAUCUGGGUUUGAAUCUUCCAGAUUUUUCACAAAUAAUCACUAUAAUUCGAGGGUCCUUGGGUUGAUAAUCAAGAUGAAGAUAAAAUGAAAAUGAAAGAGAUAAAGAUGGAGAUUUUCACUCUGUUUUAAUUUGAUGAACCAAAUGAGAUGGAAUUAGAGGACCCUUUGGUUUGUUGCUCUAAUUUGUUGUCUGUUUUGGUUUGUUGAAUGAAAUGGAAUUAAAUUG